This 1001-nucleotide ribosomal RNA is filed under the name uncultured archaeon. RNAcentral describes it as "bacterial SSU rRNA". It matches the Rfam family "Archaeal small subunit ribosomal RNA", at positions 45 to 1054 of the family's 1478-position model. The record is from RNAcentral.
UAAGCCAUGCGAGUCGAGAGGGUUCGGCCCUCGGCGUACUGCUCAGUAACACGUGGAUAACCUGCCCUAGGGAAGGGGAUAAUCCCGGGAAACUGGGGAUAAUACCCUAUAGGUUACAGAUGCUGGAAUGCUCUGUAAUCAAAAGUUCCGGCGCCCUAGGAUGGAUCUGCGGCCGAUUAGGUUGUUGUUGGGGUAAUGGCCCAACAAGCCAGUAAUCGGUACGGGUUGUGGGAGCAAGAGCCCGGAGAUGGAUUCUGAGACACGAAUCCAGGCCCUACGGGGCGCAGCAGGCGCGAAAACUUUACCAUGCGGGCAACCGUGAUAAGGAAACCCCGAGUGCCAGCACAGGCUGGCUGUCCGCCAGUUUAAACAACUGGCGAAGAAAGGGCCGGGCAAGACCGGUGCCAGCCGCCGCGGUAAUACCGGCGGCUCGAGUGGUGGCCGCUAUUACUGGGCUUAAAGGGUCCGUAGCUUGAUAAUAGGGUCCCUUGAGAAAUCCGCCGGCUUAACUGGCGGGCGUUCAGGGGAAACUUGUUUUCUAGGGACCGGGAGAGGUGAGGGGUACUGCCGGGGUAGGAGUGAAAUCCUGUAAUCCCGGUGGGACCACCUAUGGCGAAGGCAUCUCACCAGAACGGGUCCGACAGUGAGGGACGAAAGCUGGGGGAGCAAACCGGAUUAGAUACCCGGGUAGUCCCAGCUGUAAACUAUGUGCGUUAGGUGUGUCAGUGACCACGUGUCACUGAGGUGCCGAAGGGAAACCGUGAAACGCACCGCCUGGGGAGUACGGUCGCAAGGCUGAAACUUAAAGGAAUUGGCGGGGGAGCACCACAACGGGUGGAGCCUGCGGUUUAAUCGGACUCAACGCCGGGAAUCUCACCGGAUAAGACAGCGGAAUGAUUGCCGGGCUGAAGACUCUGCAUGACUAGCUGAGAGGAGGUGCAUGGCCGUCGUCAGUUCGUACUGUGAAGCAUCCUGUUAAGUCAGGCAACGAGCGAGACCCA